Molecule: transfer RNA, 69 nt
Filed under: Planicapritermes planiceps
Lineage: Eukaryota; Metazoa; Arthropoda; Insecta; Blattodea; Termitidae
Description: tRNA-Trp
Source: RNAcentral
AAGGCCUUAAGUUAAGUAAUAAACUAAUAACCUUCAAAGCUAUAAAUAAAGGACUUCCUUUAGGCCUUG